Transfer RNA from Camelus ferus (Wild Bactrian camel), 73 nucleotides. It matches the Rfam family "tRNA". From Rfam's summary of the family: Transfer RNA (tRNA) molecules are approximately 80 nucleotides in length. Their secondary structure includes four short double-helical elements and three loops (D, anti-codon, and T loops). NCBI's taxonomy places the organism in Eukaryota, Metazoa, Chordata, Mammalia, Artiodactyla, Camelidae. The record is from Rfam.
GAGGGUGUAGCUCAAGUGGCAGAGCACAUGCUUAGCAUGCAGGAGGUCCUGGGUUCAAUCCCCAGUACCUCCU